UGUGGAAAAGUGAAUUUCCAAAACAUCUCCACUAGUAUGAACGGUUGAGAUGUUUUUCAAAACAACAAAAGCAAAACGAGUCGAUUUAGACAUGACAUUACACAAGAAUUAGCUGUGUUCGGAAACUCAAAAAUUUGUGCAAAUUUUUACUGGAAGUCGUUCGCGUACUUUAUUUGCCAGCAGAAGAGAGCGCGAGAUAACGCAAAUUUUGACAGGUAGAAAAUAGAGAACCUGCAAAUUUCUACAAGGACUUUUUGUUAGCAGAAAUUUGCAACUUUGAACAUAUGUUUUGUAAAGGUCAGCUGUUUUAUGAAAAGUAGCCGUUACAUAAAAAUACAAAAGCUAACCCCAAAAUGGAUCAAAAAGGCAGAGCUAGUGUUCAGGUACAGAAAACUCGACAAAUGUAGUUGUAGUUUUACCUCAAGUCGGGUGUUCUACAUUAGAAGACACCAAAAAAAAGAGCAAUUAUCGGUUUCUUAAGUGUUUUGAUGGAAUCAUCCUCAUCGGAGAGCUACGAUGAAACCAACACCGUUCCUUUGAAUUUGUUAAGGAGGGAAGAUGCUGCCAUGGGAUUGAGUGGGUCUAGCUGAGCAGUAAUCAACCAAGCACAUCAGCGGUCGUAGCAAUUAAUUUAGCCACAAUAUACAAAAGCAUUAGAUGGCUAGUCCAAGGUAUCUUUGUCAGCACAACAAGUAUACUUUUGUAUAUGGUGAUGGCAUGUAAAGCAGUUGUUGUUGUUGUUGUCGUAGCAGUGUGUUGUACACUGAGGCGGCAGCCAUUGCUGAUGAAGGACUCCGUCGGGUCAAUCCUUCGAAAUGUAUGCUGAUGCUCUGCGAAUGGAAAUUGUCCAACGAGAGGAGCGGGAGGAGUAGUCCCUCAUGCGUCUUGGCUACUGAUGACAGAUGGGAGAUCAGUCUGUACGUCUCCCUCUUGCUCGUGUCCUUUUCAGGUUUCAGUAGCGGGAUUAGACUGCCCAUCUUCCAAACAUCGGGUACUAUAAUAGUGUUCAGAUAGGCUGAGGAUAAUUGUAAGGUAGUCGCCUCCAGGCAGAUUCAGAUUCUUCAGCAUCCGUGUAGAGAUUCUGGCUGGAACCAGCGCCUUGCUCGACUUGGCAUCACGGAUGACAUUCGUAGCUUCGUGCACGAUUGUUGUUGAAGCAGUGUGUUUUACACUGAAAGAUUCCAUCGGGCCAAUGAAAAACUCCAUCGGGCCAAUCCGGUACGUAGAACCGGCUGUCAUGUGAUUGCACGGUAAUUUGUGAUGGCUGUCCAGCAGCACAAAGAUCACGGAUAUACGCAUGGCUCCCCUUCUAGCCUUUUUACUCUCAAUGUACUCAAUAAAUUGCCGUUUAUCUAAGGAAAAUACCUCAAAAGUAUCGCCAGUAUUUUUUGUUUAAAAAAAUAGUUUUCCAAGCAUGCAAAUAAAAAACCACCGAAAAUUAGCUGUUUUUCUGCAAAUUUUCGUUGGAAGUCGUUCGCGUACUUUUGCUUGCAAAUUUUUUAAAGAGAGUAAAAUGGUUCUUACGCCAAUCCUAUUAUCAUACACAUUUCAAACAAAUGACAAACGGUAAUUUCAAAUCUAGAAUUCAAAAAGUCUAUUGGAAAUUUUCAAACGAUGGUUUUUUAGUUAAAAUUGUUUUAUCUAAAAAAGGGGGAUUUUACCAAAAAGAAGAAAUGCGUAAAUUCAAUUCUAAUAAAACAUUUGUUUUGAUAAAGAAUGCAAAGUGCUUUUGCUUUUAGAUACAUGAAAGCAUUAAUAUCUGAAAAAGUUAUAAUAAAAUUUUUCCACAUGCUUAAUUCAGCCUAUUGUUCAAGGGACAAUCCGAAACUUCAACCACAGUAAAUGAAUAUUUCAAAAACUUUUGACUUCAGAUAGCAAAUAUGAUUUCGCCAAAUUUUUGAAUAUCAGGACAGCUUUGUAGACAGUUAUUAUAUCUUAGGACACUGUUACACGGAAUUAAACUUUUGUUAUACAAUCAAACAUUACACUAUCCCCUGGAUGUUCAAAUAAUGACCUUCUAAAGUAGAUAGAGGUCGAUGGUGAUAUCACAUCCUGCGCUGUUGUAUCGGAUGGCAUAAUACAUAUGGCUAAGCAAAGUGAAGAACACGAGACUAAUGGAAAUUCCGAGGAAUCAGACGAAGGAAAUUAAAAAAAAAACAGAAAUCGCUCCGAAACUUCAACCACAGUAAAUGAAUAUUUUAAAAACUUUUGACUUCAGAUAGCAAAUAUGAUUUCGCCAAAUUUUUGAAUAGCAAUAAAGGCAUAUCGUAUUUUACUGGAAUGUCAUGAAAUUUUAGAGAAAGGUGUAAUGCAGGUACAUAGCUUACAAACCAACAAAAAAUUAAGAAUACAUGCACAAAAACAAAAAACAUUACAUAAGUACUUUCAAUAUUUAUGUAUAUAUAUUUUAAGAAGCUUUCUAAAUAUAUACCAAUUUAUAUGGUACUACCAGAAACAGAUAAAUAAUAAAAUUUAAGAAAAAAACUUUAUUAACCGUGUUUCCGAUUUUCCGUGCUCAGCUCGGUCCCGAGUAAGACGGAUAAUUGGGGUUGAACUGUAUUUAAAGUUUUGAUAAGUAA
Stomoxys calcitrans (stable fly) is the source of this 2579-nucleotide long non-coding RNA. RefSeq lists it as uncharacterized. NCBI's taxonomy places the organism in Eukaryota, Metazoa, Arthropoda, Insecta, Diptera, Muscidae. The transcript is spliced from 4 exons. The record is from RefSeq and is a predicted model, not a curated record.